Molecule: ribosomal RNA, 253 nt
Filed under: uncultured bacterium
Lineage: Bacteria
Description: partial 16S ribosomal RNA
Rfam family: Bacterial small subunit ribosomal RNA
Source: RNAcentral
UACGUAGGGUGCAAGCGUUGUCCGGAAUUAUUGGGCGUAAAGAGCUUGUAGGCGGUUUGCCGCGUCUGCUGUGAAAUUUCGGGGCUCAACCCCGAACUUGCAGUGGGUACGGGCAGACUAGAGUGUGGUAGGGGAGACUGGAAUUCCUGGUGUAGCGGUGAAAUGCGCAGAUAUCAGGAGGAACACCGAUGGCGAAGGCAGGUCUCUGGGCCAUAACUGACGCUGAGAAGCGAAAGCAUGGGGAGCGAACAGG